AUGUUCCACCAGAUCAUCAGUCAGAGGAUCUGAACUUGAUCCCCCUUUUUUGUAUUUACUGGAGCUGGAGGUACUAGAGCAGCACUGUAUCUCUUGUGUCUGGCAUUGUUCAAUCCAGAUGUUAGUUGGGACAGAAAGAAUAACCCAGAGCCCUGGAACAAACUGGGUCCCAAUGAUCUAUACAAGUUCUACUCAGUGAAUGUGGAUUACAGCCAACUGAAGAAAGAAGGUCCAGAUUUCUAA
RNAcentral lists this long non-coding RNA (243 nucleotides) under Homo sapiens (human). RNAcentral's name for it is "non-protein coding lnc-ALDOB-1:1". The record is from RNAcentral. Lineage: Eukaryota; Metazoa; Chordata; Mammalia; Primates; Hominidae.